This 279-nucleotide non-coding RNA is filed under the name Carlito syrichta (Philippine tarsier). Lineage: Eukaryota; Metazoa; Chordata; Mammalia; Primates; Tarsiidae. The record is from RNAcentral.
UUUGGGCACAGUGGUCACUCCUAUAGUACCAGCUAUGUGGAAAGUUGAGGCAAGAGAAUCAUUUGAGCCCAGAAAAUGUAAGCUGUAGUGUGCUAUGCUGAUCUGGUGUCUACACUAAGUUUGGUGUCAAAAUGGUGACUUCCUAGGGGUGGGGGACCAUAAGAUUGCCUGAAACCGGCCCAGGAAGGAAAUGGAGUAGGUCAAAACUCCCUUGAUGGUCAGUAGUGGGAUUGUGCCUGUAAAUAGCCACUGCUAUUCACAUAGCAAUAACCUGUUUCA